Alosa sapidissima (American shad) is the source of this 1788-nucleotide long non-coding RNA. RefSeq lists it as uncharacterized. The record is from RefSeq and is a predicted model, not a curated record. The transcript is spliced from 3 exons. NCBI's taxonomy places the organism in Eukaryota, Metazoa, Chordata, Actinopteri, Clupeiformes, Clupeidae.
GGAAAUUGCUGUGCGUGGCUGGUGGAGGGAGGACUGACGGAUAGGUUAGCAGUUAGCAUGCUGCCGUGCACCCUUUGUGUGUCUGCACGGCUGAAGAAAUGACCUUACAGGACUGUCUACGAAUGCAAGGCUGCUUAUUCACAACUCACUAGUUAGUGCGCAGUGGACUGUAAGAUCCGUCAUAUCGAACAACGUCCCAAUAUUCCUGCAAGUGACAUAUUUGUUAAUUAGUGGAUAUUACUUACGUCCGGUAGAAUGAAUACAACAACUGUUCAGAAAGAAAUUGUUUCCAUCCCUAAAUGUUAGUUGUGCUAUCGCAAUGACAUCAUAGGCGCAUUACUUUCUUGUCAUUUUAGAUUCAUGGAAUUUGAAGUAUGGCUUUUGAGUGUUACAGCGCGAGGGGCAUUUGUUUUUCUUUUGGACAGAGAUGUUACUGUUGAAGUUAUUAAGUUAGCAUUUACUCUGGCGCUCUGGUUUUGUCGCCCCAGUGGUGUGGCGCCACAGCUCGCCUCCUGUGGUGCGGCGUGUUUGCCCGCGUGCCCGUGGCUGUCGCUCAGCGGAAUGGCCUCGGACAGGUGACGCGGGUGAGUAAUCCAUUAGCCUGACGCCGGACUCUUCUGCUCGGCUCGGCUCGGCGGGAGUGGGCUUUUGCCGAGACCUUGAUGGGCCCCCGGAGUCGAAGGCCUGUCAAAGCCAGGAGCCGGAGUGAUGGAGAGGCCUCACCAUGGUGCUGCGGAUCCCUGCCUCUCACCCGUGCACGCCCUGCCACUGAGCCUGCAUGUCCUGGGGCCUUCAGUCACCGCAACUCGAUCCAGAUCUGGGCUCAUGAAUACUACUCAACACGAGCAGCACAAACAAGUCCACAGGCCUUCCCUUCUCUCCCCUCUACCUACACCCUCACCUGCCAGCUUUUCCCAUCUGACCUGCCCGGUGGCACUCAGUCAUACUGGCGGAUAUGGACCGUGAAGGGAUCCCUGCCGGCCACCAAAUCAGUUUGGACUGUGAAAUCCCCCCCAUCACUGUGUCAGGCUUAUGGGUUCUGAUCUGCUUGGGAAAUCCUGAUAAAGUGACAAAUGGCUUUUAACUGAAAGGGUCGGCUGACAAUUACCUGGAAUGAGCUCCUGCUGCAGCACCACGGCUCUGGAAGCGCGCGGCCUGUCAUUACCCCCCCCCACCCCACCCCACCCCCGUAUGAGCUCAUUUUUAAAAAGACAGCACCUACGACUUCACAGACGAGCUUUCUCAGCGGAGAUCCCCCCUCUCUCUGUCCCUCCCCUUCUCUCUCUCUCUUUCUCUCUCUCUCUUCCCUCUCUCUCUCUGCUUUCCCUGCACCUCAGCCUAUCUCUGAGCCAUGGGGACCGCGAGGACGUCAAAAAGCCGCCCAGGAAUCACUGGCGUCCAGCCCUCCAUCGCGGCCCCCCCUCGCAUCCCCCUACCACCACCACGGCAGGUUUUGUUCUCUGAACUUUGAAGCAGAACAGGGAUAAGAAUCAACUCUCCCGUCCAACAAGACACAAAACAACAGAAGACGCGGAGGAAGAAAAAAAGAAAGCCUCCAAUCCGAUUAAAACAAUCUCCUUGUCUUUUGAUUAACAUGCAUUUGCAUAAGAAUGGCGCGGGGCGAUGGAGCAGUGGUAGGUGAGUCUGCUGCUCUGUGUGGGGUUGUGGCCCCACGGCCUCUCUCACACAGACCCCAUACUGGCACCUCCAAGCAGUAGUGAAGGCUGUGUGUGUCUGCGUGUGUGUGUGUGUGUGUGUGUGUCUGUGUGUGUGUGUGUGUAUGUGUGU